Molecule: long non-coding RNA, 605 nt
Organism: Sorex fumeus (smoky shrew)
Lineage: Eukaryota; Metazoa; Chordata; Mammalia; Eulipotyphla; Soricidae
Exons: 2
Source: RefSeq, a predicted model, not a curated record
CCGCGGCGCCCGGCGCCGUCCCCCGCCCCCCGCCCCUCCCGGUCGGCGCGUCCCUGCGCCCCGCGGGCCGGAGCCGCAGCCGAGCGCCCCCCGCGCCCCCCGCAUGGCGCCCCCCGGCCCGGGAGCCUGACGGACCCGCCGGCCUCGCGGGGCGCGCGGCGAUGAGACUGCGGGGCGCGCAGAGCCUGCGAAAACCCUCCUAUGACACAGAGACAGACCCGAGCGAGGGCCUGAUGCAUGUCCUGAAGAAAAUCUAUGAAGACGGAGAUGACGACAUGAAGCGAACCAUCAAUAAGGCCUGGGUGGAGUCGAGAGAGAAGCAAGCCAAAGGGGACACAGAGUUUUGAGGCUUCGGGUCCGAGUUGGGGGGCUCUGGCACCGCGGUAUAUGUAUUGCCGGUGAGGAGAUGGUGCAGAACCGCACCAGUAUGUUCGCCAACGGCUCACAGCCUGUUCUUAACUACUCAAGAGUUUAUUUAAGUAAUAAGCUUAUUGAAAACUUCCUACAAAGAUGGUUUCCAUAGUCCCCAGUUUUGUUCAAGAAAAGAUAAUACUGCAUUCUUGUGGGAAAUGUAAAUAAAUAAGUCUUACCUAAGGAAAAGGCCA